RNAcentral lists this ribosomal RNA (465 nucleotides) under uncultured bacterium. RNAcentral's name for it is "partial 16S ribosomal RNA". It matches the Rfam family "Bacterial small subunit ribosomal RNA", at positions 339 to 795 of the family's 1533-position model. The record is from RNAcentral.
CUACGGGGGGCUGCAGUGGGGAAUAUUGGACAAUGGGGGAAACCCUGAUCCAGCAAUGCCGCGUGUGUGAAGAAGGCCUGCGGGUUGUAAAGCACUUUCGGUUGGGAGGACUGCUUCUAGCACUAAUAUUGUUGGAAGUUGACGUUACCUUCAGAAGAAGCACCGGCUAACUCCGUGCCAGCAGCCGCGGUAAUACGGAGGGUGCAAGCGUUAAUCGGAAUUACUGGGCGUAAAGCGCGCGUAGGCGGCUAGAUCAGUCGGGUGUGAAAGCCCCGGGCUUAACCUGGGAACUGCAUCCGAUAGUGUCUAGCUUGAAAACGGGUGAGGAGAGUGGAGUAACAAAUGUAGCGAUGAAAAGUGAAGAUAUGUGGAGGAACACCAAUGGCGAAGGCAGAUCUCAGGCCUGAUACUGACACUGGGGUGCGAAAGCGUGGGGAGCAAACAGGAUUAAAUACCCCUGUAGUC